GAAGAAACCAUAUUGGUGCAUUUCUAACAGCAGUCAUUGUAGUUUCACUUUCACACAAACAUUUGAUUCUAACAGGAACAAAAUAGAAAAGAAAUCCAGAAAACCUAUGUAGAUAGAAUCUGGUAUUUAUAGCUACAAAAAGACUUGAGAAAUGGGAACUUAAGAAACGUGACGAAGAGGUGAUUGACAUCUGAAAGUACCAGAGUUCCCCUCUCAGGCCGCUGUUGUCAUUUCCAAUUCUCGAUUAAGUUACUCGAAUCUGAAUAUUGUAACCAAAGAUCCUGAGAAAUUACUAAACGUCCUGAAGCAACUCAUCAUCGUUGCAGGUGUUGAGUUCAUCCAAAACAAGAAGUAUGUUGUACUGAAGCCUAAGUGAGAGAUUUAGAUUAGUUAGUUUUCUUCUCGUCUUCUUUAAGUGCGGGAGUAUCUGAACUACUGGCAGCUUGAUCCACAUCUUCCGCAGCAAAACCAAACUCAUUCACCCGUUUCUUAUCUACUGGAUAAACCCAUCUCUGAUAUAGGUAUAUCAAAAAUAUAAGAUCAUCACGGAACACAGACAGGCGAUGAAGCAUUGGCAUUUUUAUCACAAAUGCAAACAAAUCAUCAAUGAUGGUAUUAAGAAAUUUGUAGGUCAUUUGCCUCCAAGGUAAAUGAGCAACAGACUUCAGUUUAUAAUUGAUGAACAACUGUGGACACAUCAUAACAAAACCAAACAUAUAAACACAGCUUGUCAGGGAUGAGAGGAUCCAUGAAUACCAACUCUUGUGGCGGUCAUACAUUAGAGAGUAUAUGGCAAAGCACACGGCAAGGAAGAACAGCACAUAAGACAAAUAUUUCAUGGCAAGAUCAUCAUAUUCUUUAGUCUUAUUUCCAGCAUAUGAUUCCCGAUCUCGGAACCUCAACAUGGGUAUUCUACCAGAUCUGUCAAUCUCAAUGUGCAUGGCCUUCCCUAUUUUCCAGAACUCAAU
RNAcentral lists this unclassified non-coding RNA (968 nucleotides) under Hevea brasiliensis (rubber tree). Lineage: Eukaryota; Viridiplantae; Streptophyta; Magnoliopsida; Malpighiales; Euphorbiaceae. The record is from RNAcentral.